GCAUAAGCCUCCUGUGUCCCUCUUUGCCUGGCAAAGAAAUAAAGCUAUUCCUCUUCCCAAAACUGUCUCCAAGAUUUAUUCAGCACCACUGCAUAGAGGCUGAAUUUUAAGCAGCACCACCAACCUGACUUGUUUACCCAACUUGUUCCGAGAGGAGCAACCCCACGUCCAUGGGCCAGAGGCUGCGCAGGCACAGGAGGACCGAGAGGAGCUACUCCAUGUUCAAGCUCAGGAGGGGUGGCCGUGAGGAGAUACCCCUCGUCCAAGCUGAUGCUACCACAGGAUCUUCAAAUCCACUUUCUAAAGAAGAACAUAGCAGAGUGGUGAAGUACUCAAGCUGUCAAGAUUAGCAGAUCAAAUCCAAGUUUUAAUGCUUAGAGUGACUUCUUUUUGAAGUUUUCUGUUGUAAAAUAAAGAGAAUGAUAGUCUCUAUCUCA
Bubalus bubalis (water buffalo) is the source of this 437-nucleotide long non-coding RNA. RefSeq lists it as uncharacterized. The transcript has 3 exons. The record is from RefSeq and is a predicted model, not a curated record. NCBI's taxonomy places the organism in Eukaryota, Metazoa, Chordata, Mammalia, Artiodactyla, Bovidae.